AGCUCAGUGGUAGAGCACAACCUUGCCAAGGUUGGGGUCGAGGGUUCGAAUCCCUUCGCCCGCUCCA
This 67-nucleotide transfer RNA is filed under the name Sphingomonas sp. LH128. RNAcentral describes it as "tRNA-OTHER". It matches the Rfam family "tRNA", at positions 9 to 71 of the family's 71-position model. Rfam says of the family: Transfer RNA (tRNA) molecules are approximately 80 nucleotides in length. Their secondary structure includes four short double-helical elements and three loops (D, anti-codon, and T loops). Lineage: Bacteria; Pseudomonadati; Pseudomonadota; Alphaproteobacteria; Sphingomonadales; Sphingomonadaceae. The record is from RNAcentral.